Long non-coding RNA from Telopea speciosissima, 353 nucleotides. RefSeq lists it as uncharacterized. NCBI's taxonomy places the organism in Eukaryota, Viridiplantae, Streptophyta, Magnoliopsida, Proteales, Proteaceae. The record is from RefSeq and is a predicted model, not a curated record. The transcript has 2 exons.
AACUGUGAUACUAACACUGAGUUUCAACUCUUAUGUGUUGUCAUGUAAUCUUUAUAAAUAAUUGCAAAACAUUGUCAAUUAUUAGUUCUUUUGGAAGGCAUUUAUAUGCUGAUAUGUGUAGCACAGUAGCAGUUCAUAGUUUGUCCUUCAUUUUCCUCUACUUUUUUUCUAAUUUUAGGAAUUUGAGUAAGGAAAUAACUUCCUUGUUAUUAUGCUAAAAGUUUAUCUUGAAAUUUCGUAGUCAGUGUGUCAUGGAUUUAAUGCAGUACUGAUCCCGAAUUAGUGAAAUCUAGUGGGAGAUCAGCGUGCGACAAGAUUGCAGGAAAAAAAAAAGAUAAACCAGAUUUGAAAAA